Molecule: long non-coding RNA, 1061 nt
Organism: Nilaparvata lugens (brown planthopper)
Lineage: Eukaryota; Metazoa; Arthropoda; Insecta; Hemiptera; Delphacidae
Exons: 2
Source: RefSeq, a predicted model, not a curated record
CAAGCUGUCGAAGCUGACAGCUGACUAUUCUGUCUUCUCCUCUUCUCCGUUUCUGUUAUCAUAACUUUGUUUUCCCUUUUGAGUUUAUCAGUAAUCUCAUCUUAUCAUUUCAAUAAACUGACAUCUACAUCUAGGAAGUGAACUUUUAUAGCAUUUGAAGCUUUAUCACUGGACGAGUGUUGGCGUAAUCUUCAAGAGAAUAACCAUUCUGGUGACAAAAUUUUGCUGACUCAAUCAGUGGAGGAGACAUCAUGACUCGUCGACACAGAAGACCAGGGCAUGCAAAUAGAGCGGCAAUGAAGAGAAGCAGAUAUUUCGAGAGAUUGGAAGACAGACAACCCGAUGAGGAAUUCAACAGAGAUUUUAAUCUAGUGCUUUUUUUAGCGAUAGUUUUUCUUUUAAUGGCGAUAAUUGUGCGUUGGUGCAUUGACGAAUUCCGCCCUGAGUUUCAGUAAUAAUUGCAAUUAUGUAUAAGUUUAAUCUUAGCUUUUAAUUUGUCUUUUUAGAAUUUUAUGUCAGCAAACCUCAAGAAAACAUACAAGAAUCUAUGCAAUUAUUACAAGCUUACUGGGAUGUAAGCUUAUCUAGCUGUUAAAUUGUGAGCUUGGAAUUUUAUGUCAUCAACUCUAAUGGAAACUAACAAUAAUUGUAUACGUAUACUAGACAUCAGCUUUACUGUCAGCUGAAUCCGUUAUUUAAAAUUCAUAAAAAUUACUGGAAUAUGUUUCAAAGCUUAAAUUGAGCUAGGGAGAAUGAUUAAUUGAUAUAUUUGGUGCUACUCAAUAAUUCGUCUCUUAAGGAAUAUGAUUUCCAGCAUAUUUUUGAAAGUAUUUUAAUUUCAACAUAUUUUAUAAUAUAUCAUACUUUUAAAAGCCAAUCGAACUGAAUUUUAACAGAUAAUUCCAUGCCUUUUAAUUAUUUCUCCAAGUACUAUAAAGAUCUUUCAGCGUUCAUCUUCAUUACAUUUUAAAAUACCAACGUUUUCAAAACUGCAAUUUAACAAUAGAUAUGAGAGAGUUCAUAUUUUAUAAUAGAGCUAGUUUUAAAGUGUUUGACAAUAA